UAGGGAAUAUUGGGCAAUGGACGCAAGUCUGACCCAGCCAUCCCGCGUGAAGGAUGAAGGAUCUAUGGUUCGUAAACUUCUUUUAUUGGGGAAGAAAAAGUCUCAUUCAUGAGAAACUGACGGUACCCAAUGAAUAAGCACCGGCUAACUCCGUGCCAGCAGCCGCGGUAAUACGGAGGGUGCAAGCGUUAUCCGGAUUCACUGGGUUUAAAGGGUGCGUAGGCGGCUUUAUAAGUCAUUGGUGAAAGCUCGCAGCUUAACUGUGAAACUGCCAAUGAAACUGUUUAGCUUGAAUGUGGUUGAAGUGGGCGGAAUACAACAUGUAGCGGUGAAAUGCUUAGAUAUGUUGUAGAACACCGAUUGCGAAGGCAGCUCACUAAGCCAAUAUUGACGCUGAGGCACGAAAGCGUGGGUAGCGAACAGGAUUAGAUACCCCUGUAGUCC
RNAcentral lists this ribosomal RNA (444 nucleotides) under uncultured bacterium. RNAcentral describes it as "bacterial SSU rRNA". It matches the Rfam family "Bacterial small subunit ribosomal RNA", at positions 355 to 796 of the family's 1533-position model. The record is from RNAcentral.